Pan troglodytes (chimpanzee) is the source of this 267-nucleotide long non-coding RNA. RefSeq lists it as uncharacterized. The transcript has 3 exons. Lineage: Eukaryota; Metazoa; Chordata; Mammalia; Primates; Hominidae. The record is from RefSeq and is a predicted model, not a curated record.
CUGUUCUUUGCUCCAUGAGAAAGAUCCACCUAUGACCUCAGGUCCUCAGACCGACCAGCCCAAGGAACAUCUCACCAAUUUUAAAUCAGAUUUUCUCAGCUUAGCAGCUGAAGACUGACGCUGCCGGAUUGCCUCGGAAGCCCCCUAGACCAUCACGGACGCCGAGCUUCCGGUAACUCUCACAGUGGAAGACGCGCAUGAAAUUUGGUGCCAAAACCUGGGUACAUCUUCCUGAAUCAGCCUUCUGAGAACUGUUCCACUUUGCAG